GGAAACCAUGACUUCAUUCCUCCAUUCUUCCCAUCUAGGAGGGAUGCUACAGGAUCGGAGAGGCAAUUCUGCCCUGCUCCCUGUUUAGCUGUGUUUAUUCACAUUUAGCUGUGUUUAUUCACGGUAUCCUGGGGGCAUUGUAUGUACCCACCAGUCAUGGGAAGUUUCCUGGCAAGAAGAAAUUGACUCUGUUACAGGGGUAUAUUCUAGGAUUGCCGCCUGGCAGUAAGUAAACAUCAGCUCCAUGUAAGCCAGCUGGUGGAGUGCGAGCUUAAGUUGACUGGGAUUUUUAUAAGGAUUCUUGUGUUAGCUUUCUGUCGCUGUGGCUAAAACCUUAGAGAAGUCAAAUUAAAGGGGAGAAGACUUACUUGGGCUUAUGACUUCAGAGGUUUCUGACUCCACUGCUUUUGAAGCCAAGGCAAGACAAACUAUCUCAGCAGUAGGAGUGUAUGGCCAAGAGACUGCACACUGCCUGCCUCGUGGCUGUCAGAGAUCAGGGAAGAAGAAAGACGCCUUACAGGGGAGCCUGCCCAGUGAACUACUUCCUCCAACUAGACCUCCAGCAAUUUCUACCAGCCCCUUAUAGAUUAUUCAACCAUGCAUCUGUCAAGGAAUGGAUGAAUCCAUUGAUGAGCCACAUCGUAGUCACAUUUGAUGUCCACAAUACAACACAUCCCAGAGGAUAUGGCCACCAAGGUGUGGCUCCUACGGAAUUCCCAGAAUACGUCUAGUCGAGUACAGCAGAGGCACAAAGAACCAUGGAGGGAAUGCAGCAGCGAGCACUACCAUAGAUCCUGUUGAAAUCUUGAACAAGGGCCGGACUGUUUCACCCCGUCUCCAGGCAACAGCCAGGCGCGCCAGGCGGAACGUCAUUUCCUGAAGAGCCC
This 887-nucleotide long non-coding RNA is filed under the name Cricetulus griseus (Chinese hamster). RNAcentral describes it as "lncRNA (ENSCGRG00015040566.1)". The record is from RNAcentral. Lineage: Eukaryota; Metazoa; Chordata; Mammalia; Rodentia; Cricetidae.